This is a long non-coding RNA of Sander lucioperca (pikeperch), 452 nucleotides long. RefSeq lists it as uncharacterized. The record is from RefSeq and is a predicted model, not a curated record. Lineage: Eukaryota; Metazoa; Chordata; Actinopteri; Perciformes; Percidae. The transcript has 2 exons.
GUUAUCUUCAUCUGAAGAGCUGUAAUCAGGGUUGAGCAGUUGUCGUCCUGCUCUGACACUUCCUCCUCGCUGUGUGAUAAAAGGUGUAUUUCAGUAUCUAUAAGUGAAGAUGGCAACCCCAGUAAUCCGCAUCGUCAACCCAGAGGCCCCUGCACACCGUCAACAGGCCGUACUGAUGGCGACUAAAGAGGCCCGUUGUUAUCUUCCAGGACAGCGCCCUGACACACGCAGAGAAGCUCCUUCGAGCAGAGGGCAUCCCUGCAUCGUCGCGUCAGCUGUGCCUGGGAAAGCUGCUAGUCCCUUUUGGCCAGUAUGACAAUGCACCCUUCCACUGGCUUGUCACAAAUGAUGUGGCAUACAUGAAGUAGUAAGCAUAUUAUAUUCAAUACCAUUGUUGGCUGUGCAUUUUUUUGAUUGCAUGUUUAAAAUAAAUAUCUGUUUACACAAAACUA